GGUUAUUAAAAAUAACAUAUUUUCUGUAAUGGCCCUGUUUUUCUGUAAUGGCCCUGUUUUUUUUCUGUAAUGGCCCUGUUUUUCUGUAAUGGGCCUGUUUUUCUGUAAUGGCCCUGUAUUAAUGCCCGGUUUGUCUGUAUAAAGCACAGUUAGGGUUUUUAAUGAAGUUAAUAAAAUUAAGUUGUAAAGAGUAUAAUACUUUUUUGUAUUUUAUUUAAUUUAGUAACCAGCAACCAACAUUAAAGAACGAUAUAUAGGGAUCACUGUUCCUCCUGUUUUUCAACACAUAGCUUCUGUCAACUUAAUAUCUUGGAUAUUUGGUAUAUUAACACAUACACUUUU
Molecule: long non-coding RNA, 342 nt
Filed under: Mytilus galloprovincialis (Mediterranean mussel)
Lineage: Eukaryota; Metazoa; Mollusca; Bivalvia; Mytilida; Mytilidae
Source: RNAcentral